AAAAAAGGAAAAUAGCUUGGAAAAAAAAAGAUGUUAACGCUAUUGACCAAAUCUGAUUUCUUCUUCUCUUCAUUCACGAUGAUGAAGGAAUUGACGUUGUUAACGCCAUCCAUCGGCUUCUUCUUCUUCAUCGCCCACAGAAAAGAUAGGAAGCUUUGUUUGUCAAGUUCGAGUCUCCAAUUCUAUGCUUUCAAAUCCAAUUUCGACUUCACCUUCUCCAAGCCAAAUCAAGCCAUGUUCAUCCAUGGAUUUUCUUCUUCUUCCUGCUAUUCGAACAUCACCACUGGCGUAAACCAAAAUCGAUUUUGUAGUUCUGGGAAGAAUACCAAACAACGAGGAAGAAGAUGGAGAAGGAAAAUAUUGAGCUAAAAGAUAAGUUUUUUGUUCUAACAAUACACUUUUGGCUAGAUACUAUCGUGAUUGCUUUUGGUUUUUCUGAAUCCAAUUUAGAGCUUUGGUUUCUCCUGAAAAAAUUAUGCCUGUUAAUGGAGUGUACGAAGAUGUGUGAUGUUUUGUUAAGUCUAUUACUCGGUUUGCUGUAUGAUGGCUACAAUAUUUGAUUCGUUUAAAAUGCCUUGGUUCUGGUUAUCAACCUUUCUCUGACACACAUAAUAUAUGAUACAUCAUGG
This 629-nucleotide long non-coding RNA is filed under the name Brassica napus (rape). RNAcentral's name for it is "long non-coding RNA (BNAP_LNC019733)". The record is from RNAcentral. Lineage: Eukaryota; Viridiplantae; Streptophyta; Magnoliopsida; Brassicales; Brassicaceae.